This 1777-nucleotide long non-coding RNA is filed under the name Citrus x clementina. RNAcentral's name for it is "Citrus clementina (C. clementina) long non-coding RNA (CCLE_LNC006109)". Lineage: Eukaryota; Viridiplantae; Streptophyta; Magnoliopsida; Sapindales; Rutaceae. The record is from RNAcentral.
GCGGAAAAAGGCCACAAAAACGGGUGGGCUAUAGCCUUGGGGGGUGGGGCUGGCCAACCUCGUUUGCCAGACUCGGAAUGCCGCGAGACUUUGCGAGGGGCCUCCGUGUGCCAAAAAUAGGCCGCGGGCAAAGCCGCGCCCAAAAAUAACCGCCCGAAGACCGGGGCGCCAAGUUCGUCCAGCGGAAAAAGGCCACAAAAACGGGUGGGCUAUAGUCUUGGGGGGUGGGGCUGGCCCACUUCUUCCGCCGGACUCGGAAUGCCGUGAGACUUUGCGACGGGGCCUCCGUGUGCCAAAAAUAGGCCGCGGGCAAAGCCGCGCCCAAAAAUAACCGCCCGAAGACCGGGGCGCCAAGUUCGUCCAGCGGAAAAAGGCCACAAAAACGGGUGGGCUAUAGUCUUGGGGGGUGGGGCUGGCCCACUUCUUCCGCCGGACUCGGAAUGCCGUGAGACUUUGCGACGGGCCUCCGUGUGCCAAACAUAGGGCGCGGACAAAGCCGCGCCCAAAAAUAACCGCCCAAAGGCCGCGGCCCCUAUUUCGUCCAGCGCUACUCGGAAUGCCGCGAGACUUUACGAGGGGCCUCCGUGUGCCAAAUAUAGGCCGCGGGGAAAGCCGCGCCCAAAAAUAACCGCCCGAAGACCGGGGCGCCAAGUUCGUCCAGCGGAAAAAGGCCACAAAAACGGGUGGGCUAUAUGCUUGGGGGGUGGGGCUGGCCCACUUCGUCCGCCAGACUCGGAAUGCCGUGAGACUUUGCGAGGGGCCUCCGUGUGCCAAACAUAGGGCGCGAGCAAAGCCGCGCCCAAAAAUAACCGCCCGAAGGCCGGGGCGCCAAGUUCGUCCAGCGCAAAAAUGCCACAAAAACGGGUGGGCUAUAGCCUUGGGGGGUGGGGCUGGCUAACCUCGUUUGCCGGACUCGGAAUGCCGCGAGACUUUGCGAGGGGCCUCCGUGUGCCAAAAAUAGGCCGCGGGCAAAGCCGCAUCCAAAAAUAAGCGUCCGAAGACCGGGGCGCCAAGUUCGUCCAGCGGAAAAAGGCCACAAAAACGGGUGGGCUAUAGUCUUGGGGGGUGGGGCUGGCCCACUUCAUCCGCCAGAUUCGGAAUGCCGCGAGACUUUGCGAGGGCCCUCCGUGUGCCAAAAAUAGGCCGCGGGCAAAGCCGCGCCCAAAAAUAACCCCCCGAAGACCGGGGCACCAAGUUCGUCCAGCGGAAAAAGGCCACAAAAACGGGUCGGCUAUAGCCUUGGGGGGUGGGGCUGGCCAACUUCGUCCACCGGACUCGGAAUGCCGCGAGACUUUGCGAGGAGCCUCCGUGUGCCAAACAUAGGCUGCGGGAAAAGCUGUGACAAAAAAUAACCGCCCGAAGGCCGGGACGCCAAGUUCGUCCAGCGCAAAAAUGCCACAAAAACGGGUGGGCUAUAGCCUUGGGGGGUGGGGCUGGCCAACUUCGUCCGCCGGACUCGGAAUGCCGGGAGACUUUGCGAGGGGCCUCCGUGUGCCAAAAAUAGGCCGCGGGCAAAGCCGCGCCCAAAAAUAACCGCUCGAAGGCCGGGGCGCCAAGUUCGUCCAGCGGAAAAAGGCCACAAAAACGGGUGGGCUAUAGCCUUGGGGGGUGGGGCUGGCCAACCUCGUUUGCCAGACUCGGAAUGCCGCGAGACUUUGCGAGGGGCCUCCGUGUGCCAAAAAUAGGCCGCGGGCAAAGCCGCGCCCAAAAAUAACCGCCCGAAGACCGGGGCGCCAAGUUCGUCCAGCGGAAAAAGGCCACAAAAACGGGUGGGCUA